GUCUAUGGCGGCUUUGCGUGGGGCACCUUCGGGUGCGCCGGUUUUGGCUAAGUCCCGGUCUGCUAACCCGCGUCAAAGUCGCCACCCUC
This 89-nucleotide non-coding RNA is filed under the name Pseudomonas cichorii. The record is from RNAcentral. Lineage: Bacteria; Pseudomonadati; Pseudomonadota; Gammaproteobacteria; Pseudomonadales; Pseudomonadaceae.